AACGAACGCUGGCGGCAUGCCUAACACAUGCAAGUCGAACGAGACCGUCGGGUCUAGUGGCGCACGGGGGCGUAAGGCGUGGGAAGCUGCCCGUAGGUUCGGAAUAACUCCCCGAGAGGGGUGCUAAGACCGGUGAAGGUCUUAGGGCCAAGGAGUUAUCGCUAUUGGGUGGGGGCGGGUUGGUUUCGCCGGUUGGUAGGGGAAAAGCGUGCCAAGGGGACGAUGCUGAGCUGGUGUGAGAGGAGGAUAAGCCACACUGGGACUGAGACACGGCCCAGAACCGGACGGGAGGGAGCAGUGGGGAAUACUGGACAAGGGGCGAAGGCCUGACACAGCCAUGCCGGGGAAGUGAUGAAGGCCGUAGGGUUGUAAAGCUCUUUUACCCGGGAUGAUAAUGACAGUACCGGGAGAAGAAGCACCGGCUAACUACGUG
RNAcentral lists this ribosomal RNA (433 nucleotides) under uncultured bacterium. Its description in RNAcentral is "partial 16S ribosomal RNA". It matches the Rfam family "Bacterial small subunit ribosomal RNA", at positions 29 to 507 of the family's 1533-position model. The record is from RNAcentral.